UACCGGCGGCUCGAGUGGUGACCAUUUUUAUUGGGCUUAAAGCGUUCGUAGCUGGAUUGUUAAGUCUCUUGGGAAAUCCAACGGCUCAACCGUUAGGCGUCUAAGGGAUACUGGCAAUCUAGGGACCGGAAGAGGUGAGAGGUACUCCUGGGGUAGGAGUGAAAUCCUGUAAUCCUAGGGGGACCACCUGUGGCGAAGGCGUCUCACCAGGACGGCUCCGACAGUGAGGGACGAAAGCUGGGGGAGCAAACCGGAUUAGAUACCCGGGUAGUCCCAGCCGUAAACGAUGCGCGUUAGGUGUAUCAGCGACCACGAGUCGCUGAGGUGCCGAAGGGAAACCGUGAAACGUGCCGCCUGGGAAGUACGGUCGCAAGGCUGAAACUUAAAGGAAUUGGCGGGGAGCACCACAACGGGUGGAGCCUGCGGUU
RNAcentral lists this ribosomal RNA (428 nucleotides) under uncultured archaeon. RNAcentral describes it as "bacterial SSU rRNA". It matches the Rfam family "Archaeal small subunit ribosomal RNA", at positions 474 to 902 of the family's 1478-position model. The record is from RNAcentral.